Long non-coding RNA from Chlorocebus sabaeus (green monkey), 1918 nucleotides. RefSeq lists it as uncharacterized. The record is from RefSeq and is a predicted model, not a curated record. NCBI's taxonomy places the organism in Eukaryota, Metazoa, Chordata, Mammalia, Primates, Cercopithecidae.
GCAUUUCUGUUUAAAGAUGCCUUAUUUAAUAUAUAUUGUUGAUUCAUGGACAUCAAGCUCGCAGCCAACAGCACUAUGACUCAUGCCUGAAUGAAGCUUAUCUAACACAGGCGUUUUCUCUGUAGGGCACAUCACAGCCUUCUUGUGCUUACAGACAGUAGACAGCACUUCAGUGCUAUGGUUGGGGGUCAUUUUAAAUAGCAAAAUCACCAAGAAAAAGCACAGAAAUGUGAAAAAGGUGGCACUAAAUAGACCACAAAAAGUAUACCUCUUUUCAGUAUCAGGGCUAAAGGCAGAAAGCACAGUGUCACCUUGUUCUCCCUCAGCUGAGCACAUUCAUGUCAGAUGACUUUGAUUUUUUGCCUCUCUGCAUAUCUGUGAAUGACCAUGAAAGCGUGCAUACACAACCUGAAAUUCAUCUUGUUGGUUCAUCAUUCUCUGUGGGGUAUUACAUACAUGGUCUGCUUAUGCUGAGCGCCGUAAUUGUAACCGCAGAGUUGGUUAAGAAAGUCAAUUAUAACAGAAGUGGAGCUCUUCAAACUGGAACUCCAUGAAGACAACUGAACACAUCUAUUGAGCUCCAAGGAAACGUGGUAGUGGCUUAGUCUGAAUUGUGCCACUUCUCCUCUUGGAAAUUAUGCAGAACAGUAAAUCAAAUUUUACAAAUCUACAAAUUCCAUUUUCAGUGAAAUUAGGAGACCCAGAAUAUUCUUGAACUACAAAUUAUGUGUACAUGCUGCCCCAAACACCUGAGGCCAAUGGAAGCUGGCAAGAAGCUGCAUGGUAAAUGGUGAUGGACAAUGGAAAGGAGGUGAGGACGCAGCAGCUGUGGCGGGAGUCUCAGAAAACACAGCAGUGUUCACUUCCAGAGCAGAGGGCCCCAUCUGGGGUGGUAACUCCCAUGAGCAGACAUGAAAUCAGAGUGACCAACUCUUCCUAGUUGCCUGGAACUUUACUGGUUUUAGCACUGAAAGUCCUCUGUCCUAGGAACCUCCCCAAACCUGGGCAAACUGGGAUGCUGCUCACCCUAGAGGAACUGGAACAGAGUGUGCCACCAAAGGGAGGUGGCAAAGGCCUGGGACCACAUGGGUGGCAGAGUACAAAAAGUGCAAGUGAAAAUAGAUCAACAAAAAGUCAGGAUACUCCCGUGGAAGCUGCAGAUGAAGAGAUUGCUUCGCUUCAAACUGCCUGACUGCCAUGGAACCAUCUGGCACAUGCACGUGUGUGGGGAGGUGAGACACCAGCUAACACUAAAGUCUUCAGCUGGUGUGACGGACUUAAAUUGACGUUCUCCAGAGAAAAGAUACAAAUGGCCAACAAGUACUUGAAGAGAUGCUGAACAUCACUAACCGUCGGGGAAAUGGAAAUCGAAACAACAGUGAGAUAUCAUUUCAUACCUUUUAGGAUGGUUAUUAUAAAAUAAAAGAUAAUAGGUAUUGGCAAAGAUUUGGAGAAAUGGAAACCCUUGUACAUUAUUGGUGGGAAUGGAAAAUCGUACAGCCUCUGUGGAAAACAGUAUGGAGUUUCCUCAAAAGAAAUUAGAAUUACCACAUGAUCCAGCAGUCUCACUUCUGGAUGAAGGAGGGAAAUGGGGAGUAGUUCAAUGGGUAUAAAGUUUCAGUUGUACAAGAUGAGUAAGUUCUGGAGAUUUUCUCUACAGCAUAGGGAUUAUAGUUAAUACGGUAUUGUGUACUUAACCAUUUGUUAACAGUGUAGAUCUCAUGUUUUUAGUACAAAAACAAAGUGGCACACACACAAAAAACCUUUGGAAGGUGGUUGAUAUGCUUAUUAUCUUGAUUGUGGUGAUCGUUUCACAGCCAUAUGGAAAUGUUCAAACUCAUCAAAUUGUAUACAUUAAAUAUGUGCAAUAUUUAGUAUAUCAACUAUACCUCAAUAAAGCCAUUGAAAAAUUUAAGCA